UUCUAUUGGCUCAGCCGCUCGGGCGCUCAACCUAACCCGUUCGUCGUAGGCGUCAUAGAGGGAGAAGGAGCGGGGGAGGGAGGGAAGGAAAGAGCAGAACAGACGUUCCUUUCCCCCAGCUUCCGGUUUGGGCAAUUCCCUGAAAGCUGGCCAGAGGGAACGUGACAACAAGCACGGGCUUCUGGUUAUUUGAGAAUUCCGGCUGAGUUCUGCUUAACUGAGAGUCCACUGUAUAUGCAAUUAUUCCAAAAUCUAAAAUGCUUCUGGUGAAGGGAUUCUGAACCCAUAAACCCAAUGCCUUUGCGACAUCACUGAGGCUUCCAAUGAGUGGCUUCUGCUGAAGGCAGCAGGAUGUGAGAUUUUAAAGGGGCUGCUGCACAGACCUCACACAUAUAUGUCAUAGUCUGACGUAAAACAAUAAAGACAUUGUAUUGAAGGACCCUAAGGCAGCCAAAAAGCAAAGACUUUUAACAGGAAUGGGGUCAAACUGUACAUUGCAAUCAAACUGGAACAAUGUGGUGGAUGAACAACAAGAGUGGUGUCAAAAUGCAUUAUUUCUAAAGUGUAGAUAGAUACAGCCAAAGGAAAUCCCGCUGUAGGAAACGCACAGCAAGCUCCACUCUUGAACUUGGAAGACUUGAGAACUAGGACCUUGGCUCUCCCUAUCUCUUCCACCUCCACCCCCCUCCCCAUCCAUCCACCUGCCAAUCAAGGCCUGGCAUUGCCUUAGCAACAGGCUAACAAACUCCAGCAAGCCAAUGAGGGCACAGGGGCGGGGUUUCAGGGAGCACGCUAGGCUGCAGGUUGCCUGCCUUGCCUUGCUUCCCUAGCUAAGUCAUUGGAAUCAGGGCACAGGAUGAUAGUGGCCAUGGGAAAUGAAUGAGCCGAGCCAUUUGGAAAGGAAAACUUUCUAGUCCUCCAUGCAUUCAAACAAGGGCCCCCUCAUAUCUAAGCCAGAGUGCAUCUACACACUGUAGAAUGAAUGCAGUAUGCCACCCGUUUAAUUGCCUUGGCACAGAGCUAUGGAAUCCUGAAAGUUGUAGUUUGGCAAGGCACCAACACUCUGACAGAGAAAGCUAAAGACCUUGGAAACUACAAGAUGAUUCCACAGCAUUGAGCCAUGGCAGUUACAGUGGCAAACUGCAUUCGUUGUAGAUGCUCACCCACUCACUUCACUCCCCUUGGCUUUUUGUUUCUUCCAAAUAAAGGCAAGCAAGGCUUACAACACAAUUUAUAACAUUAGCAGGUGCAAGCCUCACUUUGCCUUGUCCCCUAUGUCCAAAAGGGAGAAAAAUAGUCGGCUCUUUUACUCCUAACUCCUGUCUCCUACCAGGAAUUUUGGACAUUGUCUUUUGCACUUUUUUGGUUUCUGGAUAAGCACCCCUUUAAGACUACAAAUGCCUGGGGAAGAAUGUGCACUUUGUAUAGCAAGAUAUUUAAAAACGCCAUUUAAUCUCAAUGCAGAAAUUAUCUUCUUCCAUCUUUUGGCAAAAAAAGAAGCUGAAAAGACUUGCCUUGAAAGCAAGGGAAUGUAUACUUUGCAACUUGCUUAUAUUAAAUUCUCAUAUAUAUGCAGCAAAUCUGUGUAAAUAUGUAGUGAAUAUACGCAGGGUAGGGAAAAACUGGGCUUACUUAUUUCACAAUAUUAGCCAUUUUAAUGCAAUUGUAUCUUAAUUGCUUUUAGGGUAAAUGUAAUGUGUAGUUUACUGUGUUUUAUUGGAUUUUGAUUUUUUCAUUCUGAUGCUUAAUUUUUUGUAGUAGGUUUACUGUUGUUACUGUGCAUUAUCUUGUAUUAUGUUGGUGCGUUUUGUACUCAUUUGAGGCGUUUGGAUGUUUGCCUUUUUGUUUUGUGUCUGUAAACCACCCUGAGUCCUUUCGGGGAGAGGGUGGUCUAGAAAUAAAGUACUAUAAUUAUUAUAAA
This is a long non-coding RNA of Anolis carolinensis (green anole), 1921 nucleotides long. RefSeq lists it as uncharacterized. The record is from RefSeq and is a predicted model, not a curated record. NCBI's taxonomy places the organism in Eukaryota, Metazoa, Chordata, Lepidosauria, Squamata, Anolidae. The transcript is spliced from 2 exons.